AUACGAAAGGUGCAAGCGUUGUUCGGAUUUACUGGGCGUAAAGAGAGUGUAGGUGGUUUAUUAAGUCGGAUGUGAAAUCCCGGGGCUCAACCUCGGAACUGCAUUCGAUACUGAUAGGCUAGAGUUUGGGAGGGGUAAGCGGAAUUCCGUGCGUAGCAGUGAAAUGCGUAGAUAUACGGAGGAACACCUGAGGCGAAGGCGGCUUACUGGACCAAUACUGACACUGAGACUCGAAAGCGUGGGUAGCAAACAGGAUUAGAAACCCUAGUAGUCC
Molecule: ribosomal RNA, 274 nt
Filed under: uncultured bacterium
Lineage: Bacteria
Description: partial 16S ribosomal RNA
Rfam family: Bacterial small subunit ribosomal RNA
Source: RNAcentral